RNAcentral lists this long non-coding RNA (544 nucleotides) under Equus asinus (donkey). Its description in RNAcentral is "lncRNA (ENSEASG00005028612.1)". Lineage: Eukaryota; Metazoa; Chordata; Mammalia; Perissodactyla; Equidae. The record is from RNAcentral.
GGAUAACACGCGUUUAUGGAGUGGUUGUGCAAACCGAGGGCACCUUGUGCGCUGGGCCCAGAGCUGACGGCGAAGUCUACUGGGGAAAACUGAGAGAUGGCUCCCGUGAUCCUCGCGGCAAGAGAUGAAGGUGGCUGUGAUGGCAGAGAUGGAGAGAAGUGGAAGAGUUCACAGAGAUUCACUGACCUUGAUGACAGGCAAAGUGAGGCCAAGGGAAGAAUAUUCUUUCCAUAAUGUAACCAAAGAGCAGUCAACAAAGACAGGAGCAAGGCCUUGGUCUCCGGUGAGUAUGAACAGGCUGACCACGGGUGGGAAACACACCUACAAGGUAUCCAUCACAGCUGACAGAAGAAUGGAACCAUGUGAUACCUGGAGCCCAUCAUGUGGGAAGACUAACAUCCCUGGAACACUCCCUCACUGCCCAUUUUUCCUAUAUAGCUACCUCAAGAGUCUGUAAUUUUUUUGUGUGUGUGUGAGGAAGAUUGGCCCUGAGCUAACAUCGGUGCCAAUCUUCCUCUAUUUUGUAUGUGGGAUGCUGCCACAG